CUUCAGUCACUAGUGAGAUGCUCUUACAUUCACUAGUGUGAUGCUCUUAAAUUUACUAGUGAGAUGCUCCUACAGUCACUAGUGAGAUGCUAUUACAUUCACUAGUGUGAUGCUCUUACAUUCACUAGUGAGAUGCUCUUACAUUCACUAGUGAGAUGCUCCUACGGUCACUAGUGAGAUGCUCUUACAUUCACUAGUGAGAUGCUCCUACAGUCACUAGUGAGAUGCUCCUACAGUCACUAGUGAGAUGCUCUUACAUUCACUAGUGAGAUGCUUCUAGUCACUAGUGAG
Gasterosteus aculeatus aculeatus (three-spined stickleback) is the source of this 291-nucleotide long non-coding RNA. The record is from Ensembl. NCBI's taxonomy places the organism in Eukaryota, Metazoa, Chordata, Actinopteri, Perciformes, Gasterosteidae.